This 440-nucleotide ribosomal RNA is filed under the name Nocticola cockingi. RNAcentral describes it as "partial large subunit ribosomal RNA". It matches the Rfam family "Archaeal large subunit ribosomal RNA", at positions 1903 to 2596 of the family's 2987-position model. Lineage: Eukaryota; Metazoa; Arthropoda; Insecta; Blattodea; Nocticolidae. The record is from RNAcentral.
AAACAUUGUUUCUUGUGUUUAAAUGGGAAAUAUUGUCUGCCCACUGAGGUUUUAAAGGGCUGCGGUAUUGCUGACCGUACAAAGGUAGCAUAAUAAAUAGUUCUUUGAUUGGGAGCUGGAAUGAAGGGCUUUAUGAAAAAUCGACUGUUUUAAUUGUAAUAUUAGAAAUUAAUGUUUAGGUAAGAAAGCCUGAGUUAAUUAGUGGGACGAGAAGACCCUAUAGAAUUUUAUUUUGUUAUUGGGGUUAGUUGAUAUAAUAUGUGGUUAUAGAUAUAUAAAAUUUGAUUGGGGUGAUUGAAAAAUAUUUAACUUUUUUUUUAUUUAGUUAUUAAUGAGUAUGAGUUUGAUCCAUGGUGUGAGUGAUUGUAAGAUAAAUUACCUUAGGGAUAACAGCGUUAUUUAUUCGGAUAGUUCAGAUAGAUGAAUAAGAUUGCGACCUC